RNAcentral lists this ribosomal RNA (305 nucleotides) under uncultured bacterium. Its description in RNAcentral is "bacterial SSU rRNA". It matches the Rfam family "Bacterial small subunit ribosomal RNA", at positions 335 to 638 of the family's 1533-position model. The record is from RNAcentral.
GCUCCUACGGGGGGCAGCAGUGAGGAAUAUUGGUCAAUGGGCGCGAGCCUGAACCAGCCAAGUCGCGUGAGGGAAGACGGUCCUAUGGAUUGUAAACCUCUUUUGUCGGGGAGCAAAAGACGCCACGCGUGGCGUUCCGAGAGUACCCGAAGAAAAAGCAUCGGCUAACUCCGUGCCAGCAGCCGCGGUAAUACGGAGGAUGCGAGCGUUAUCCGGAUUUAUUGGGUUUAAAGGGUGCGUAGGCGGUCCGUUAAGUCAGCGGUAAAAUUGCGGGGCUCAACUCCGUCGAGCCGUUGAAACUGGCA